This 837-nucleotide long non-coding RNA is filed under the name Anolis carolinensis (green anole). RNAcentral's name for it is "lncRNA (ENSACAG00000042026.1)". The record is from RNAcentral. Lineage: Eukaryota; Metazoa; Chordata; Lepidosauria; Squamata; Anolidae.
UAGCCAGCUCUGAUAGCGAGGGUGGGGACAAAGAGCAGUUGGAAGGGCCAGCAUCUGAGUUGGAGUCCAGCAGUGCCCAGUAGCUUCCACAGCUGAGCAUGGGAGGGGAACCUUUGGAGAAAGCUACAACUUCCCACCCUGCAGAUCAAGAACAAGCAAGUGCAUCUGGGCAUUUCCUAAAGUUGGACGGAGAGGAUGUCUUCUGUGUAUCGAGGCGGGCGCUGCUGCCACCCCUUCUCAAUGAGCCCCCUGGUUUCUGUGCCUGACUGCCCUGGCCAUCCUCUUUCACUGGUCUUCUAAUAUGACUCCAUGGACAUUGCACUGGAUGACUAAAAGAUUCCAAGAGAGAACAUUUUAAUGAAAUCUGCAAAUAAUCAAAUCUACAAAAGUUAAAGACCAUACAUGUGGAAGGUUUAUAGUACAUGCAGAAGUAGAGAAUGGCAUCUUAAAAGGAGUUACUGAACAGUUAAAGGAACAAAGGUUUGGGUUCCCCCCUUCUCUUGUGAAAGAUGUAAACAGAUUUGCUGACAAGUUUAUGUAGAGAGAAAAGUCAUUUCUGGAAGCACUAUGAAAAUCUAAUGAAUAGAUGAAAGUGUUUUGUUGAUUAUGUAUUUAUUAAGGAUUGAGAAUUCUGGGGGAAAUGAUCUAAAAGCAAGAAAGCAGUGAACAAAAGGAAAAGCGUUCCCUUGAAGAGUGACAAGCAGUCACACAGAGAUGGUUUCAAUUGAAGUGCUAACAGCUCCUGCAGGUGGGAAUGAGCAAACAGAGAGGUACCCAGGCUGAAAACAGGAGGAAAUCAACACCUUUUGGUUUCUCUCUUGAGAAAAAAAAACCACU